Molecule: ribosomal RNA, 557 nt
Filed under: Sulfitobacter sp. I14B-01171
Lineage: Bacteria; Pseudomonadati; Pseudomonadota; Alphaproteobacteria; Rhodobacterales; Roseobacteraceae
Description: bacterial SSU rRNA
Rfam family: Bacterial small subunit ribosomal RNA
Source: RNAcentral
GCGGCGGACGGGUUAGUAACGCGUGGGAACAUACCCCUUUCUACGGAAUAGCCUCGGGAAACUGAGAGUAAUACCGUAUAAGCCCUUCGGGGGAAAGAUUUAUCGGGAAGGGAUUGGCCCGCGUUAGAUUAGAUAGUUGGUGGGGUAAUGGCCUACCAAGUCUACGAUCUAUAGCUGGUUUUAGAGGAUGAUCAGCAACACUGGGACUGAGACACGGCCCAGACUCCUACGGGAGGCAGCAGUGGGGAAUCUUAGACAAUGGGCGCAAGCCUGAUCUAGCCAUGCCGCGUGUGUGAUGAAGGUCUUAGGAUCGUAAAGCACUUUCGCCAGGGAUGAUAAUGACAGUACCUGGUAAAGAAACCCCGGCUAACUCCGUGCCAGCAGCCGCGGUAAUACGGAGGGGGUUAGCGUUGUUCGGAAUUACUGGGCGUAAAGCGUACGUAGGCGGAUCAGAAAGUUAGGGGUGAAAUCCCGAGGCUCAACCUCGGAACUGCCUCUAAAACUCCUGGUCUUGAGUUCGAGAGAGGUGAGUGGAAUUCCAAGUGUAGAGGUGAAAU